This is a long non-coding RNA of Homo sapiens (human), 652 nucleotides long. Ensembl annotates it as long intergenic non-protein coding RNA 1435. Lineage: Eukaryota; Metazoa; Chordata; Mammalia; Primates; Hominidae. The record is from Ensembl.
GGCUGAAAGCAAUGAUGUUGCCAUUCAUCCUUUCACGUAUUCAUUAUGGUCUACAGCUGAGAAGGGCUAUUUGGGGUUUGCUUUGCCUGAUGGUAGCAGAAGAAAACCAAGAGGCCUCUCUACGAAAGCUUGCAGUAAGGAGAAAGUUCUGGAGACUGGGAAGAGCAACACAAAGAUAUUCAGUUGCUUGGUGAGAGCUGCUCUCUGCUUCCAAGGCGGCACCUUGUUGCUGCAUUCUCCAAUGGGAAGGAACGCUGGGUCCUCACAUGACAGAAGGUGGAAAGGAUGUAAUGAAGUUAUUCCGAGAGUUAGCACCUCUGUAUGCUCAGGAUCUCUGUCCAGUGAAUCCCUUGCCAUUCUAAUGAUUCCCAAGAUUGAGGGUUAAGCAGUGUCUUCCUUCCCAAGGCUUCUGCUGGAUGAGCAUUUGGAUUUGCUAAUUAUGAAUAAAACUGCUGUGAACAUGCUGGUAUAUAUCUUUGAAUGAGCAAAUGCAACUAUUUCCAUUAGUAUUUUCCCAUUAGUGUGAUUGUUGGAUCAUAGAAUAUGAUGUAUAAAAUACUAUGUUAAGAGACAGUGUCAAAUGGUUUUUCACAUAAGUUAAAUUGUAUGUCUACCACCAUUAAGUGAGAAUUAAAACUGUUCUAUUUCAUCA